This 406-nucleotide ribosomal RNA is filed under the name uncultured bacterium. RNAcentral's name for it is "partial 16S ribosomal RNA". It matches the Rfam family "Bacterial small subunit ribosomal RNA", at positions 30 to 526 of the family's 1533-position model. The record is from RNAcentral.
AUUGAACGCUGGCGGCAGGCCUAACACAUGCAAGUCGAACGAGUGGCGGACGGGUGAGUAAUGUCUGGGAAACUGCCUGAUGGAGGGGGAUAACUACUGGAAACGGUAGCUCAUACCGCAUACCAUCGGAUGUUCCCAGAGGGGAUUAGCUAGUAGGUUGGGUAAAGGCUGACCUAGGCGACGAUCCCUAGCUGGUCUGAGAGGAUGACCAGCAACACGGGAACUGAGACACGGGGCAGACUCCUACGGGAGGCAGCAGUGGGGAAUAUUGCACAAUGGGCGCAAGCCAGAUGCAGCCAUGCCGCGUGUAUGAAGAAGGCCUUCGGGUUGUAAAGUACUUUCAGCGGGGAGGCGUUACCCGCAGAAGAAGCACCGGCUAACUCCGUGCCAGCAGCCGCGGUAAUUC